This 462-nucleotide ribosomal RNA is filed under the name uncultured bacterium. Its description in RNAcentral is "SSU rRNA". It matches the Rfam family "Bacterial small subunit ribosomal RNA", at positions 26 to 518 of the family's 1533-position model. The record is from RNAcentral.
AGGACGAACGCUGGCGGUGUGCUUCACACAUGCAAGUCGAACGGGGUAGCAAUACCCAGUGGCGGACGGGUGAGUAACGCGUAGAAAUCUGCCUUGAGAUGGGGGAUAACAGUCCGAAAGGAUUGCUAAUACCGCAUAUGUAUGUAUCCGGACACGGGUGUAUAUGAAAGGAGUAAUCCGUCUUAAGAUGAGUCUGCGUCCGAUUAGCUAGUUGGUAGGGUAAAGGCCUACCAAGGCGACGAUCGGUAGCUGGUCUGAGAGGAUGAUCAGCCACAAUGGGACUGAGACACGGCCCAUACUCCUACGGGAGGCAGCAGUGGGGAAUUUUGCGCAAUGGGGGAAACCCUGACGCAGCAACGCCGCGUGGAGGAUGAAAUAUCUUGGUAUGUAAACUCCUUUCGAUGGGGAAGAUUAUGACGGUACCCAUAGAAGAAGCCCGGCUAACUUCGUGCCAGCAGCCGC